ACAGCAGUAGCCGCGGGAAUACGGAGGGUGCAAGCGUUAAUCGGAAUUACUGGGCGUAAAGCGCACGCAGGCGGUCUGACAAGUCAGAUGUGAAAUCCCCGGGCUUAACCUGGGAACUGCAUUUGAAACUGUCAGGCUGGAGUCUUGUAGAGGGGGGUGGAAUUCCAGGUGUAGCGGUGAAAUGCGUAGAGAUCUGGAGGAAUACCGGUGGCGAAGGCGGCCCCCUGGACAAAGACUGACGCUCAGGUGCGAAAGCGUGGGGAGCAAACAGGAUUAGAGACCCCUGUAGUCCCUGUCUCUUAUAC
Molecule: ribosomal RNA, 305 nt
Filed under: uncultured bacterium
Lineage: Bacteria
Description: partial 16S ribosomal RNA
Rfam family: Bacterial small subunit ribosomal RNA
Source: RNAcentral